AGAGUUUGAUCAUGGCUCAGGAUGAACGCUGGCGGCGUGCUAAUACAUGCAAGUCGAGCGGUAACACUUCGGGUGACGAGCGGCGGACGGCUGAGUAGCACGUAGGAACGUACCCCAAAGUGAGGGAUAAGCACCGGAAACGGUGUCUAAUACCGCAUGUGCUCUUCGGAGUAAAGCUUCGGCGCUUUGGGAACGGCCUGCGCAUGAUUAGCUUGUUGGUGAGGUAAAAGCUCACCAAGGCGACGAUCAUUAGCUGGUCUGAGAGGAUGAUCAGCCAGACUGGGACUGAGAACGGCCCAGACUCCUACGGGAGGCAGCAGUAGGGAAUUUUCCACAAUGGGCGAAAGCCUGAUGGAGCAACGCCGCGUGCAGGACGAAGGCUUUCGGGUCGUAAACUGCUUUUAUCUGUGACGAAUAUGACGGUAGCAGAUGAAUAAGGAUCGGCUAACUCCGUGCCAGCAGCCGCGGUCAUACGGAGGAUCCAAGCGUUAUCCGGAAUUACUGGGCGUAAAGAGUUGCGUAGGUGGCAGAGUAAGUUGGUAGUGAAAGCGUGCGGCUCAACCGCAUAUCCAUUAUCAAAACUGCUCAGCUAGAGGACGAGAGAGGUUAUUGGAAUUCCUAGUGUAGGAGUGAAAUCCGUAGAUAUUAGGAGGAACACCGAUGGCGUAGGCAGAUAACUGGCUCGUUCCUGACACUAAGGCACGAAAGCGUGGGUAGCAAACGGGAUUAGAUACCCCGGUAGUCCACGCCGUAAACGAUGGAUGCUAGCUGUAUUCGGUAUCGACCCCGGAUGUAGCGAAGCUAACGCGUUAAGCAUCCCGCCUGUGGAGUACGGUCGCAAGACUAAAACUUAAAUGAAUUGACGG
Molecule: ribosomal RNA, 866 nt
Filed under: uncultured bacterium
Lineage: Bacteria
Description: bacterial SSU rRNA
Rfam family: Bacterial small subunit ribosomal RNA
Source: RNAcentral